Molecule: ribosomal RNA, 492 nt
Filed under: uncultured bacterium
Lineage: Bacteria
Description: partial 16S ribosomal RNA
Rfam family: Bacterial small subunit ribosomal RNA
Source: RNAcentral
AGUGAACGCUGGCGGUAGGCCUAACACAUGCAAGUCGAACGGCAGCACAGUAAGAGCUUGCUCUUACGGGUGGCGAGUGGCGGACGGGUGAGGAAUACAUCGGAAUCUACUUUUUCGUGGGGGAUAACGUAGGGAAACUUACGCUAAUACCGCAUACGACCUACGGGUGGAGGCAGGGGAUCUUCGGACCUUGCGCGAUUGAAUGAGCCGAUGUCGGAUUAGCUAGUUGGCGGGGUAAAGGCCCACCAAGGCGACGAUCCGUAGCUGGUCUGAGAGGAUGAUCAGCCACACUGGAACUGAGACACGGUCCAGACUCCUACGGGAGGCAGCAGUGGGGAAUAUUGGACAAUGGGCGCAAGCCUGAUCCAGCCAUACCGCGUGGGUGAAGAAGGCCUUCGGGUUGUAAAGCCCUUUUGUUGGGAAAGAAAAGCAGCAGGUUAAUACCCCGCUGUUCUGACGGUACCCAAAGAAUAAGCACCGGCUAACUUCGUG